GCUACUACCGAUUGAAUGGCUUAGUGAGCUUCAGGGAUUGUUGUAGUUGAUUGGUUCGCCUUUCUUCUACAUCCGAGAACUGAAUCAAACUUGAUCAUUUAGAGGAAGUAAAAGUCGUAACAAGGUUUCC
RNAcentral lists this ribosomal RNA (130 nucleotides) under Cercomonas sp. Its description in RNAcentral is "partial small subunit ribosomal RNA". It matches the Rfam family "Eukaryotic small subunit ribosomal RNA", at positions 1678 to 1804 of the family's 1831-position model. The record is from RNAcentral. Lineage: Eukaryota; Cercozoa; Cercomonadida; Cercomonadidae.